Molecule: ribosomal RNA, 461 nt
Filed under: uncultured bacterium
Lineage: Bacteria
Description: partial 16S ribosomal RNA
Rfam family: Bacterial small subunit ribosomal RNA
Source: RNAcentral
ACGCACGCUGGCGGCGUGCUUAACACAUGCAAGUCGCGCGGUAAGGCCUUUCGGGGUACACGAGCGGCGAACGGGUGAGUAACACGUGGGUGAUCUGCCCUGCACUUCGGGAUAAGCCUGGGAAACUGGGUCUAAUACCGGAUAUGACCUCCUAUCGCAUGGUGGGUGGUGGAAAGAUUUAUCGGUGCAGGAUGGGCCCGCGGCCUAUCAGCUUGUUGGUGGGGUAAUGGCCUACCAAGGCGACGACGGGUAGCCGACCUGAGAGGGUGACCGGCCACACUGGGACUGAGACACGGCCCAGACUCCUACGGGAGGCAGCAGUGGGGAAUAUUGCACAAUGGGCGAAAGCCUGAUGCAGCGACGCCGCGUGAGGGAUGACGGCCUUCGGGUUGUAAACCUCUUUCAGCAGGGACGAAGCGCAAGUGACGGUACCUGCAGAAGAAGCACCGGCUAACUACGUG